This 248-nucleotide ribosomal RNA is filed under the name uncultured bacterium. RNAcentral's name for it is "partial 16S ribosomal RNA". It matches the Rfam family "Bacterial small subunit ribosomal RNA", at positions 528 to 776 of the family's 1533-position model. The record is from RNAcentral.
UAGGGGGCAAGCGUUGUCCGGAAUCAUUGGGCGUAAAGCGCGUGUAGGCGGCUUGGUAAGUCUGCCCUGAAAGCCCGGGGCUCAACCCCGUGACGCACUGGAAACUGGGGAACUUGAGUGCAGAAGAGGAGAGCGGAAUUCCACGUGUAGCGGUGAAAUGCGUAGAGAUGUGGAGGAACACCAGUGGCGAAGGCGGGUCUCUGGACAGUUCCUGACACUGAGGCACGAAGGCCAGGGGAGCAAACGGG